CUCAUUAUGCCAACAAAUACUUGUUUCCUAAGUCAUUAUGGGGUAUGUAAAUGAGCAAUGGAAGAGCACACAGGCAGAAGGCUGGCCACUAGAGAAGACGUCACAGGGAGCUAGAACCUAAGCCUGACCUUGGGGUAUGGUCAGCGAGGGGAGGAGACAUUUCAAGCGACAGGACUGACAAAAGCGAGGGAAAUUCAAGAGAUAAGGAUAAGGCAGUUAUUGAUGUACCCGGGAGAACUUUCCGUGCUCAUCCAGAAUAUUCUCGGUCGUACGGCGUUCUACGUCUGAAGCACUUCCUGAUUAUCACUAUGGAGAGAUGCAACACACAGCUUCCCAAGGACCACCCCUAAAUCCAGAGUCCAUCUCCAACCUUGUCCUACGUCUUUCGCUUUCCUGAUUCUCCAACUUGAAUGUCCACAUCCAUCGCCCUGAGGUUCUAGAGGAUUUGCAAACUGAGGCUCAGAGUAGUAAGCCGAUGUGCCAACAUUACCAAGCCAUGAAGUGGCAGAACCAGAACUCAGACCCAUUCAGACUCCAAGCUUGGGGUCUUCACGUGCUGGAGCCACAGCCGCCAUCCCAAAUCAAAAGAGGGAUUCCCUAGGAAAACUGAUAUACGGAUAUACACUGUGAUCCAACACCCCAUAGAAAGAGGAAGAUCAUCAGUAAGUGGGUGAUGGUAAUACUGCUGCUUGGUAACCAACUCCAAAGACCAAAGGGUACCCUCAUCCCAUGGGUCCCUGCCACUUGCAUUGAAGUCUGUGCAAACCUCUGCUUUUCAGGUCGGGUUCUCUCUCCCCACCCCUACUUCUGUAAUUACACCGUAAUCCGAGAAGCUUGUUUGGUUUCCCACUAAUGACAGUUUCCUGUUUUUGAGGCUCCAAGGCACAUCAGGUGACAGAUCAUACACAGUUCUUAUUUCCAUCCCUUUAUUAGGCAGGGAUACUAUUGUGUUAGCACAAAUAUUUUCAUUGUGCCUUCAAAAUGACAAGGUAUUCAAGAUUACUCCAGCUAAUAGGAUGUCACAGGAGCUUGUGAGAUUAAUGACCAAACCUGUCUGACAAGAAUAAUAGGGUUUUUGAAAAGAGGAAAGCAAUCGGUCUCUACCGAUCAGCCUUUCAUAUGUUUUUACCUCGGGAGCAUAUUCUACUGCCUUGAAAUGAGGAAUUCUAUCAGUUCUUAUUACCUUCUGCAAAGAUUUGUCGCAUAGUCCUGUGAUGGGGCACGCUAGACGUGCAUAGUGAUGAGGCAUUUACUUUACAUCUUCAGAGUGUGGAAAUCUAUUGAACUCCAGCCCAAAUUGGCAACCUACGUGAUAUAAUAUUGCUGUUGAAUAUUUAAUGUCUACACUGAAAAUACGAAGGACAUCUCUGACUCUGUCAGGGGUCAAGAAUAGUGGAAAUAUAUUCUGAUUAACUUAUGACAUUUACAAAUGGGACUAGUCUUUCUUCUUCCAGAAUCAACUAGCUCCAACUCCCCAUGGCCCAUGAAGACAGCCAGGGAGAGCUGGCGGCCUCAACCCACAGCAGGUAUUUCUGUGUUGGUGCUUGGGAAAAGCUAGAUUUACAACUUUCUGAUCUUGGUUCCUCUCCAGUGUCUCUGCUUUUAUUAUUUCAGUGGGCCACCAACAGUUUUUGCUACCAAGAAACAAGUACUUACUGCAGAGCUGAGAGGGAAAACUGGCCAUUCUCUUUUUCUAGCUUCAGCUGGGCCUUUGUAGGACUUCCACAAAAGCUUGAUCUGCACGUUAGAACAGGACUCAGCAUGGCGGCUACAAGUUAAUAAGUGUCCAAAUUAUGAAAACUGCCUUGUUACUCAACUAUACUGGUUUGGGAAUACCAGUGUUUGAAUCAGCCUUACAAAUACAAACUUUGCUUUGGCUCAAUGUAGUUGUUCUUGAU
Long non-coding RNA from Mustela erminea (ermine), 1898 nucleotides. RefSeq lists it as uncharacterized. The record is from RefSeq and is a predicted model, not a curated record. The transcript is spliced from 4 exons. NCBI's taxonomy places the organism in Eukaryota, Metazoa, Chordata, Mammalia, Carnivora, Mustelidae.